UCUCUCGUGGCGCAAUUGGCUAGCGCGUUCGACUGUUAUUUCCGGCAGUGCAAUCGAGAGGUUGGUGGUUCGAGCCCACCCGAGAGAG
The sequence is a transfer RNA, 88 nucleotides long. It matches the Rfam family "tRNA". Rfam says of the family: Transfer RNA (tRNA) molecules are approximately 80 nucleotides in length. Their secondary structure includes four short double-helical elements and three loops (D, anti-codon, and T loops).